Molecule: non-coding RNA, 72 nt
Organism: Trichonephila clavata
Lineage: Eukaryota; Metazoa; Arthropoda; Arachnida; Araneae; Nephilidae
Source: the annotation of a GenBank genome assembly
GUCCAGUAGCGCAAUGGAUAGUGCGUUAGAAAUCUAAUUAAAAGGUCGUGGGUUGGAAUCCCACCAGGGAUG